Molecule: small nuclear RNA, 106 nt
Organism: Pteronotus mesoamericanus
Lineage: Eukaryota; Metazoa; Chordata; Mammalia; Chiroptera; Mormoopidae
Source: RefSeq, a predicted model, not a curated record
GUGCUUGCCUCGGCAACACGUACACCAAAAUUGGAAUGAUACAGAGAGGGUUACCAUGGCCCUGCAUCAGGAUGACGUACAAAAUCAUGAAGCGUUCCAUUAAAAA